Gossypium raimondii (Peruvian cotton) is the source of this 134-nucleotide non-coding RNA. The record is from Rfam. NCBI's taxonomy places the organism in Eukaryota, Viridiplantae, Streptophyta, Magnoliopsida, Malvales, Malvaceae.
UGUUAAAAAAUUCAUCUAUUUCUACUAUUAAAAACUUACGUGACUGACAAAAUAAUCAAACAGUUAUACUGUGUACCUCAUGUAGACACACGCGAACCAAUUUUUAACCAUAGAAAUAGAUGAAAUUUUUAAGA